Molecule: ribosomal RNA, 839 nt
Filed under: Candidatus Uzinura diaspidicola
Lineage: Bacteria; Pseudomonadati; Bacteroidota; Flavobacteriia; Flavobacteriales
Description: bacterial SSU rRNA
Rfam family: Bacterial small subunit ribosomal RNA
Source: RNAcentral
AGUGGGAAUAUUGGUCAAUGGAGGAAACUCUGAACCAGCUACGCCGUGUGCAGGAUGAAGGUCUUUUAGGUUGUAAACUGCUUUUGUAUAGAAAUAAAACUCCUACGUGAUAGGAGCUUGAAGGUACUAUGCGAAUAAGUGUCGGCUAAUUCCGUGCCAGCAGCCGCGGCAAUACGGAAGACACAAGCGUUAUUCGGAUUUAUUGGGUUUAAAGGGUGUGUAGGCUGUUUAUUAAGUCAGUAGUGAAAGCUUACAGCUUAACUGUAAAAUUGCUAUUGAUACUGGUAAACUUGAGUAAGAUUGGAGCAUUUGGAAUGUAUGGUGUAGCGGUGAAAUGCAUAGAUAUCAUACAGAACACCGAUAGCGAAGGCAGGUUGCUAAAUCUUUACUGACGCUGAGUGCACGAAAGCGUGGGGAUCAAACAGGAUUAGAUACCCUGGUAGUCCACGCCCUAAACGAUGAUCACUAGCUAUUGGAAAAACGAUAUUCAGUGGCUUAGCGAAAGCGAUAAGUGAUCCACCUGGGAAGUACAGUCGCAAGAUUGAAACUCAAAGGAAUUGACGGGGGUUCGCACAAGCGGUGGAGCAUGUGGUUUAAUUCGAUGAUACGCGAGGAACCUUACCAAGGCUUAAAUGUAUUACGAAUAAGCUGGAAACAGCUUAGUCUGUACGACGUAUUACAAGGUGCUGCAUGGUUGUCUUCAGUUCGUGCUGUGAAGUGUUUGGUUAAGUCCUAUAACGAGCGCAACCCCUAUUGUUAGUUGCCAUCGGGUAAAGCCGGGGACUCUAACAAAACUGCCGGUGUAAACUGUGAGGAAGGUGGGGAUGAUGUCAAAUCAU